This 2713-nucleotide long non-coding RNA is filed under the name Homo sapiens (human). RNAcentral's name for it is "non-protein coding lnc-TMEM160-1:1". Lineage: Eukaryota; Metazoa; Chordata; Mammalia; Primates; Hominidae. The record is from RNAcentral.
CUAGUGUUCCUUUGUUUGCCAGGGAAUGUUUCGGGAAGGCUGUGGAGUGGGACGGUGGGGAUGAAGCGGGGAGUCCCACACUCUCUGGGUCCAGGCACAAAGCUAUCCUCCGUUGUUCUGAUCUGCAGAGCCAGCGCCCUCAGCAGGUACCUAGUGGUGGCAGAGCCGUGGCCUACACGUUCCCAAGGAGGCCGCCAGCCGGGCUGUACCCUUACCUUGGGGGUGUGUGCAGAUGGAAGGUGGGAAGAGACAGACCAACAGGAAGUGUUCUCUUCAGGGGUUGCCAGCCCCACCCUGAAUCUCAGAGCAUCCUCCUCCCCGGCAAAGGCCAGGGCACUGUCCCGACCAUGGGCUCUGUACAAGCAGAGGGAGGCACCCGGAGGCUGGUGUGAGCAGCUACGUGGGGUGGUGGUCCAGGGAACAGAGGGAGGGCACUGGAGCCAUUGCCUGCCUAGUUCAGUCCUCAAAUGGGUCCAAGCCAGCUCAGGUCUGCAGCGCCAGCAGAAGCAGGGUCGAGAAAGACACACUGAAGUUUGCUAGCAAUUUGUUGACCUUGCUGUAUUAAGCUAUGCAGAGUCUCUCCACUGGUGUCUCCUCUCUUGUUAACCAAAAUUAAUGUAAGGGGGAGAUGGACUAAAUGAUUAUCCCGCCGGCCCAGCGUGGACUCUCUACUCUUCUCUAUACUUUCCACUACAUAGGAUAGCGAUUCCUUUGAAUUGUAAAGGCAGAGACAGCCGUGGGGCUGAAAUGUUGGCGUCUGGAAAGAGUUCACAGGAAGCCUGACAUUCCCCUCUAUUGGCCUCAGGGAAAGCUCAUACAUUUUACCAUCUAUCACAUACUUGUCAUCAUUUGUACAAAGAGCUCGAAUCUCAUUGGCCAACUCUCGGGCAAGGCCGUCUUUGCCCAAUAUAACCAAGUUGAUUCUAUCAAUGUUAGGGUCAGAGAGUGAAUUUUUCUGAUUCCGGUCAGACGGCCGGAUAAACCGAGAACUAAUCAAGUGCUCAAUCUUAGCGUCCACACAAGCUGGGCAGCUGGGGCAUGUCUCCUUUGUUGGGUGGUACACAAAAUGAAUGUGUUUCAGAAUAAGGGCAUCACGCUCUGCUUGGAGCUUUUGUAAUGCUUUAAAUCGCUGUUCCUCUCCCAGAACAUCCUGAAUAACACCCAUCUUCUCCUUGCUGGGCUUAGCAUCCAGCUCCAGUUCAUAAAACAAUUCUGAAUAUUCCAAAAGCAACUCCUGAAAUUCUUCCUUUGCUUUAUCUAUAAUUUGCUUUUGGUGUUUGCCAUAAAUAUCCAUGUAUACAGAUUCCUCCAGCCACUGGUAGAAAUCCUCAUUCAUAAUAAAACUACGGGCCUCUUCCCAAGGCUUUCCGGGAGUUAUGAAAGGAGAAGUCUCCAGGUUUUCUUUAAACGCCCUUCGCAUCUCAACUCUUUUCCUUUCGUUCCUCAGCUUCUCUAAGUGGGCCUCGUAUAGCUGCUCUGCAGGGACGGUAUCCAUUAAAUCAAAGGGAAUCCGUUCGUUUUCCAUGUUGUCAAUGUGACUGGUGGCAUCCCAUGGGGUCUCUUCAAGCACAACAAACCACUUCAAGAAUUCUGGCUUGGUUUCUAAGAGCUUUUUGGCUUUUAUGCAGCUUAGGUGGUCUAUUUCAUCUAGAUUAGGUAUAAGAGCUUCAAAAGCUAAUGGCAGGGCUGCCAGGUACAGCUUUCUCCUACGCUCGAUAUGCUCAUGCUUGAGGCGGUGGAUGUGCUGUAGAAACAGCUUCUUGGCUUUCUGAGUCCCUUCCAGGUAGACAUAGUCCUGGUAUUCUGGAGAGGCCUGCAUCUUUCGGCUGACACUCAGCCAGUUCUCAUUGUGGUUUUUCACAAUGCGACUCACCAGCCACUCAUACUUGUCUUUUGCUGUAGCUAUCUGCUGACUCUGCUGCUUGAGAGCUUCAAAAUAAGGAAUGAUUUUUGUCUUUCCCCGACUUUUAUCAAUGAGUUGCACUAAGGUGCUGAAAGCCAAGUCCACGUUUACAUUGGAUCUCGCUGAGGUCUCCACAACCUGGAGGUUCUUUUUGCUUAAGGCAAAAGUAUGUGCAUCUCUAAUGUACCGCUCAACACCUUCGUCACACUUAGUCAGGACCACCACUAUGGGCUUUUUUGUUUUUGCAAGCUGAUUGUAGAGAUUGGAGACAAACUUGAGCUGGUCAUCAAAGUUCCUAUUCAUGCCCCUGCUAACAUCAAUACCAAGAAGAAAACCAUCAACCAGCAGCUUUCCGUCUGGCAUUUGUUUCUGCUCAAAGUCCUGCUCCAGCCCCAGCUGGUCAGUGCAAAAGUACAUGAGUUUUUCAGCUGAUGCAAGCUUGGUCGCAGCAGCUCUCUUGAUAUAGGGCUGCAGGGCCGUGCUUCGAUGAGGUUGAAAAGUCUGAUCAUCAAUAAAUUCAGUCUGCUCCACAAUGUGCAUCUUACAUUCCACACAAUCCUCCAGGGAGCGGCUAACUUCUCCCCAGUAGAGAAAGUGGUCAUUAUUGACCACUCGCCCUCCAAAGUCACUGGUGCUGAGGACGGAGGUAUGGUCCAAGUGAAACUCGUCAGCACUCGGGCGCACGAAGCGGUUGCACAAACAAGACUUUCCAAUCCCACACUGGCCCUUUUCCUUCUCGGUCCCAGAUAAUCCCACCACACUGAUGUUGUAGGUGGGAAUUCGGACAUCUUGCUUUCUUGCCAUCAUCAU